CCUACGGGAGGCUGCAGCAAGGGAUUUUCGACAAUGGGCCAACGCCCGAUCGAGCAACGCCGCGUGCAGGAUGACGGCUUUCGAGUUGUAAACUGCUUUUGUGGGGGAUGAUAGUGACCGUACCCCACGAAUCAGGCUCGGCUAACUCUGUGCCAGCAGCCGCGGUAAGACAGAGGAGCCAAGCGUUGUCCGGAGUUACUGGGCGUAAAGCGCACGCAGGUGGUGACGCAAGUGCCAUGUGAAAGCCGGCGGCUUAACUGCCGGAGGCCAUGGCCGACUGCGGCACUGGAGCCCGUGAGAGGUCUGUGGAAUUGCCGGUGUAGUGGUGAAAUGCGUAGAGAUCGGCAGGAACACCAAAGGGGAAGCCAGCGGACUGGCACGGUGCUGACACUGAGGUGCGAGAGCGUGGGGAGCGAACCGGAUUAGAUACCCCAGUAGUC
This 440-nucleotide ribosomal RNA is filed under the name uncultured bacterium. RNAcentral's name for it is "bacterial SSU rRNA". It matches the Rfam family "Bacterial small subunit ribosomal RNA", at positions 338 to 795 of the family's 1533-position model. The record is from RNAcentral.